AAAAGCACUUUGAAAAGAGAGUGCAAGAGAACGUGAAACCGAUGCAAUGGAAGCGAAUGAAGUCGGCGUAUCUAAUACGUAUUCAGUCGUUGAAUCUUUCGAUCCUUAUUGUUGGAUUUGUUGUUAAAAUGGUCUGCUAUAAGGUUGUUGUUGGGUUCGGCGAUGCACUUACGUAUGGAGUGCAGUGAGUCAAUUGGUAGCAUUGGUUGAAGCUAUUCUUAGAGGGCGCAUUUUUUUAUGCGUAUCCUAGUAUGGUGGAAUAGCCAAUUGAUACUGAUUGAUUUUUAUAUGAAACAAAGGUUUUUUUUAAAAAACGUGUUUGUAUUCAAAGGUUUUUGGUAAUUUUAUAUUGGACGCGUGCGUACGAUAUUUAAUUGCUUUAACAUUUGGAUGCAACUCUCUUUGUUUUUCACUCGCUGUAUAGUCGAUCACUCAUUCGACCCGUCUUGAAACACGGACCAAGGAGUUUAUAGUGUACGCAAGUCAUUGAGUCGUUUCGAAACUCAUAGGCGUAAUAAAAGUGAUAAACCUUACGGUUAAUGGCUAGGAUCAUAGGUUGGAUAAAAUUUUCAACUUUUGCGUACUAGCUUCCCAUUCCGAGGACUUGUCCUGGUGUGGCGAAUGAGCGUACACAAUGAGACCCGAAAGAUGGUGAACUAUGCCUGAACAGGAUGAAGCCAGAGGAAACUCUGGUGGAAGUCCGAAGCGAUUCUGACGUGCAAAUCGAUCGUCUGAUUUUGGUAUAGGGGCGAAAGACUAAUCGAACCAUC
RNAcentral lists this ribosomal RNA (770 nucleotides) under Lenisaphelenchus ulomae. RNAcentral describes it as "partial 28S ribosomal RNA". It matches the Rfam family "Eukaryotic large subunit ribosomal RNA", at positions 367 to 944 of the family's 3401-position model. Lineage: Eukaryota; Metazoa; Nematoda; Chromadorea; Rhabditida; Aphelenchoididae. The record is from RNAcentral.